RNAcentral lists this ribosomal RNA (406 nucleotides) under uncultured bacterium. RNAcentral describes it as "partial 16S ribosomal RNA". It matches the Rfam family "Bacterial small subunit ribosomal RNA", at positions 30 to 526 of the family's 1533-position model. The record is from RNAcentral.
AUUGAACGCUGGCGGCAGGCUUAACACAUGCAAGUCGAGCGAGCGGCGGACGGGUGAUUAAUGUCUGGGAAACUGCCUGAUGGAGGGGGAUAACUACUGGAAACGGUAGCUAAUACCGCAUACCAUCAGAUGUACACCUAUGGGAUUGGCUCGUAGGUGGGGUAAUGGCGCACCUAGGCGACGAUCCCUAGCUGGUCUGAGAGGAUGACCAGCCAAACUGGAACGGAGACAAGGCCCAGACGCCUACGGGAGGCAGCAGUGGGGAAUAUUGCACAAUGGGCGCAAGCCUGAUGCAGCCAUGCCGCGUGUGUGAAGAAGGCCUUAGGGUUGUAAAGCACUUUCAGCGAGGAGGCGUUACUCGCAGAAGAAGCACCGGCUAACUCCGUGCCAGCAGCCGCGGUAAUUC